RNAcentral lists this transfer RNA (70 nucleotides) under Dipodomys ordii (Ord's kangaroo rat). It matches the Rfam family "tRNA". Rfam says of the family: Transfer RNA (tRNA) molecules are approximately 80 nucleotides in length. Their secondary structure includes four short double-helical elements and three loops (D, anti-codon, and T loops). Lineage: Eukaryota; Metazoa; Chordata; Mammalia; Rodentia; Heteromyidae. The record is from Rfam by way of RNAcentral.
GGGAAUGUGGCUUAGUGGUAGAGUACUUGCCUAGCAUGCAUGAAGCCCUGGGUUCCAUUCCUCAGUGCCA